Molecule: ribosomal RNA, 250 nt
Filed under: uncultured bacterium
Lineage: Bacteria
Description: partial 16S ribosomal RNA
Rfam family: Bacterial small subunit ribosomal RNA
Source: RNAcentral
GACAGAGGGGGCAAGCGUUAUUCGGAUUUACUGGGCGUAAAGGGCGCGUAGGCGGCUUGGUAAGUCUGGUGUGAAAACGCUACCGCUUAACGGAGCGAUUGCGCUGGAAACUGCCAAACUUGAGUUCGUGAGAGGUCGGUGGAAUGCCUGGUGUAGCGGUGGAAUGCUUAGAUAUCAGGCGGAAUACCUGAGGCGAAGGCGGCCGACUGGCACGAUACUGACGCUGAGGCGCGAAAGCGUGGGGAGCAAA